CAGGUCCUCCUGGUCGGGUCGGGCCACAAGGUUUGAAGGGAGAUUCAGGCCUUCCUGGUCCAGCUGGCCCUCCGGGUCUACAGGGGAAGUCAGGUAUUACUGGGCCACCUGGCCUGAGAGGAGAAACUGGACAACAAGGACCUCCUGGACCACCAGGGGAGAGGGGUCUCCAGGGCUUUGUAGGCCGUGCAGGAAAUGUUGGACCCCCUGGUCCCGCUGGACCUCCUGGAGAGGCAGUGAGUUUAGAUGCUGCUGUUAUUUUUCUCUGAUUAGUAGCUAGCUUCAGCUAAACAUAGUCUUGUUAAGGCUUGAAUUUAUUUUGUUGAAUGACUGCUUAUCAUAUAUUAACUAGGGAUG
Long non-coding RNA from Centropristis striata (black sea bass), 357 nucleotides. RefSeq lists it as uncharacterized. The transcript is spliced from 3 exons. The record is from RefSeq and is a predicted model, not a curated record. NCBI's taxonomy places the organism in Eukaryota, Metazoa, Chordata, Actinopteri, Perciformes, Serranidae.